AAGAACAUUGGAGUGGGUCACAGUCCAUGGAGUCACAAAAGAGUCAGACACGACUUAGCAACUAAACAACAAGAACAAUGAAGGGGAGGAGAAUAGGGCCCCUGCUCCCUGAAAAGAAGUGGGAUGGAAAAUGCCUACUCAGUGCUGGGCACUGUGCUUGACAUGCUCCAUCCUUGUAACACUCGAUGCUUGGACAACCCCAUCAGGCAGGGAUGGUUCAUUUCCUUUUAGUUGGAAAACAAACAAAAAACUGGAGCCCAGAAAAGAUUGCCCAGAGAAUGAGAGCCAAAGCUCAAACCCAAGUCCCUCUGGCUCCAUGUUGUCCUUAAACAAACAAAAUAUGAUUACUAAGCAAAUUUGUUUUCAAUGAGAAGGACACAUUAUUUUUUUUUCCUUUCUGGAGCCCAGGGAAUGAAAGGAUCAUUUUUUUCAAACCUGUGACUGGGGCCAAAGAAUAGAGCAAAAACUGCUUAGGUUAGUCCUGGGGGGAUAUUAAGAUGGAAUUCAGUAAUCCACGGACAGAAGCGUUUGUGUCUUACCAGGUGGAACUCCAUGAGCUACCGUGAGCCGCUCAGCACCUCAGAGGAACCUAGGAUCAAUCGGGUUCUGGCCCAGCUUGCGGAGAGCCACGGCUUGCCCGCCAUCUAGUGGUGGGUCCAGAGCGCAUCCCAGCGCCCCCAGAGAAAUUCAUCUGCUGUUCAUUUGCCAUCAGAAGCGUGUUCCAGAACUCAGUGGCCUCUCUCAACUCACACCUUCACUUUCAGGCUUUCUGGAAAGUACUUUGAAUUUGCUUCCCUCCCUUGUAUUUCCAUUCAUGUUAGUCACACAGAGAGGGGGGAAAAAAACAACACACCUCAGUUAAUCUAGUUCUUCAGCUACACACAUACCACCACCACCACCACUUAUUGGCAGGGCCACUAAUCAGAGAGCCUCUCCAUGGGAAGUCUUCCUAAACACAAGAUCCAGGUGGGGAGAAUGCAGCAGCUUGGGGAGGCAAAAGAAUGAGGAUCACCAAGGAAGAAAAAGUUGGCUUAAAACUCAACAUUCAGAAAACUAAGAUCAUGGCAUCUGGUCCCAUCACCUCAUGGCAAAUAGAUGGGGAAACAAUGGAUAUGGUGACAGACUUUAUUUUUGAGGGGCUCCAAAAUCACUGAAGAUGGUGAAUGCAGCCAUGAAAUUAAAAGACACUUGCUCCUUGGAAGAAAAGCUAUGACCAAACUAGGCAGCAUAUUAAAAAGCAGAGACAUUACUUUGCCAACAAAGGUCUGUCUAGUCAAUGCUGUGGUUAUUCCAGUAGUCAUAUAUGGAUGUGAGAGUUGGACUAUAAAGAAAGGUGAGUGCCGAACAAUUGAUGCUUUUGAACUCUAGCGUUGGAGAAGACUCUUGAGAGUCCUGUGGACUGCAAGGAGAUCCAACCAGUCAAUCCUAAAGGAAAUCAGUCCUGAAUAUUCAUUGGAAGGACUGAUGCUGAAGCUGAAACUCCAAUAUUUGGCCACCUGAUGUGAAGAACUGACUCCUUGAAAAAGACCCUGAUGCUGGGAAAGAUUGAAGUCAGGAGGAGAAGGGGAUGACAGAGGAUGAGAUGGUUGGAUGGCAUCACUGACUUGAUGGACCUGAGUUUGAGCAAGCUCCGGGAGCUGGUGAUGGACAGGGAAGCUUGUGUGCUGCAGUCCAUGGGGUCAAAAAGAGUGGACAUGACUGAGAAACUGAACUGAACUGAGGAAGAAAAUGCCGUUCUUGAAAAGGAACCCCCAUUAACAGAGCCCUGGGAACAGGGGCAUCCUCAGCACGACUGAGUGACUUCCCUUUCACUUUUCACUUUCAUGCAUCGGAGAAGGAAAUGGCAACCCACUCCAGUGUUCUUGCCUGGAGAAUCCCAGGGACGGGGGAGCCUGGUGGGCUUCCGUCUAUGGGGUCGCACAGAGUCGGACACGACUGAAGCGACUUAGCAGCAGCAGCAGACACUCAGGUCACCAGGCUCCCUUCAGAGCCUCCCUCUGCCCCUCUGCCCCUUCUCCUUGCCUGGUACCCAGUCCCCCUUCCAACAGUGUAGGCUGUUGUGCAGAGCCUGGAUGUGGACAACUCCAGACUGGCAGUUUCAAUGGUCCAGAGAUGCAGGCUUAACCUUGGUGUCAGAGGUGAUGGAGAGGCAUCCCAGAAUAUUUUCUCUGAGUAUCACUGGCUGAUGAAGAGUUCUCCAAGCUCAUGCUGACUUUUGUACUUGAUUCACCCUGUUUAGUCAUUCCUUAUAUACGUGAAUGAAUAAUGUUACAUGUUCUGUCAAUGCACAUUGUUCUUUUAAGAUUGUUUUUUGAUGUGGACUGUUUUAACGUAUUUAUUGAAUUUGUUACAAUAUUGUUUCUGUUGUUUAUGUUCUGGUUUUUUGGCCCAGGAGCAUGUGGGAUCUUAGCUCCUUGAUCAGGGAUCAAACUCACAUCCCCUGCAUUGUAAGGUGAAGUCUUUAACCACUGAACCACCGGGAAAGUCCUGUAUAUAGUUUUAAUUUUAAAAUAUAUGUCCAGGUUAGAUCUUGUGGUUGGCACAAUAAUCCCUCCCUCCAAAAAUACCCACAUCUUUUAUCCCCAAAACCUGUGAAUAUAUUACCUUUCCGAACCAAAGAGACUUUACAGAGGUGAUUAAGGUUAAGGACAUUGAGAUGGUGAGAGUGUCUUGGAUUAUCCAGGUGGGCCCUAUCUAAACACAUUACUUCUUUAAAAACAGAGAACCUUUCCAGGCUAUGAUCAGAGAGAGAGAGAGAGAGAUGACAACAGGACAAGGGUCUGGGAGAAAUGUGACAUUACUGGCUUUGAACAUGGAGAAAGGGGUCCAUACCCAAACCAAG
This is a long non-coding RNA of Bos taurus (domestic cattle), 2842 nucleotides long. The record is from Ensembl. Lineage: Eukaryota; Metazoa; Chordata; Mammalia; Artiodactyla; Bovidae.